UACGAAGGGGGCUAGCGUUGUUCGGAUUUACUGGGCGUAAAGCGCACGUAGGCGGGCCGUUAAGUCAGGGGUGAAAUCCCGGAGCUCAACUCCGGAACUGCCUUUGAUACUGGCGACCUUGAGGCUGGAAGAGGUUAGUGGAAUUCCCAGUGUAGAGGUGAAAUUCGUAGAUAUUGGGAAGAACACCAGUGGCGAAGGCGACUUACUGGACACAUAUUGACGCUGAGGUGCGAAAGCGUGGGGAGCAAACAGG
RNAcentral lists this ribosomal RNA (253 nucleotides) under uncultured bacterium. Its description in RNAcentral is "partial 16S ribosomal RNA". It matches the Rfam family "Bacterial small subunit ribosomal RNA", at positions 524 to 776 of the family's 1533-position model. The record is from RNAcentral.